RNAcentral lists this ribosomal RNA (468 nucleotides) under uncultured bacterium. RNAcentral describes it as "partial 16S ribosomal RNA". It matches the Rfam family "Bacterial small subunit ribosomal RNA", at positions 28 to 507 of the family's 1533-position model. The record is from RNAcentral.
GACGAACGCUGGCGGCGUGCUUAACACAUGCAAGUCGAACGGAAAGGCCCUGCUUUUGUGGGGUGCUCGAGUGGCGAACGGGUGAGUAACACGUGAGUAACCUGCCCUUGACUUUGGGAUAACUUCAGGAAACUGGGGCUAAUACCGGAUAGGAGCUCCUGCUGCAUGGUGGGGGUUGGAAAGUUUCGGCGGUUGGGGAUGAACUCGCGGCUUAUCAGCUUGUUGGUGGGGUAGUGGCUUACCAAGGCUUUGACGGGUAGCCGGCCUGAGAGGGUGACCGGCCACAUUGGGACUGAGAUACGGCCCAGACUCCUACGGGAGGCAGCAGUGGGGAAUAUUGCACAAUGGGCGGAAGCCUGAUGCAGCAACGCCGCGUGCGGGAUGACGGCCUUCGGGUUGUAAACCGCUUUCGCCUGUGACGAAGCGUGAGUGACGGUAAUGGGUAAAGAAGCACCGGCUAACUACGUG